GAUGAAGAACGUAGCGAAAUGCGAUAAGUAGUGUGAAUUGCAGAAUUCCGUGAAUCAUUGAAUCUUUGAACGCACAUUGCGCCUCCUGGUAAUCCGUGAGGCAUGCCUGUCCGAGCGUCAGUAAAAAGCAACUCGGCCGCGGCUGGCGGUUGGUGAUGGAGGAAGAGCACGUCUCGUUGUCGGUCUCCCCUCCCAAAAUCAACGGCGGAAUGUCACUGGCACUCGGUGUUGUAGUAUUAUUCGCCGAUCACCCAUUGUUGUUCCUGCCGCCCAAACCCCCACAAUUCUCUUGAUUGACCUCGGAUCAGGUAGGGAUACCAGCUGAACUUAAGCAUAUCAAUAAGCGGAGGA
This 351-nucleotide unclassified non-coding RNA is filed under the name soil metagenome. Its description in RNAcentral is "partial contains 5.8S ribosomal RNA, internal transcribed spacer 2, and large subunit ribosomal RNA". The stretch from base 1 to 120 matches the Rfam family "5.8S ribosomal RNA", at positions 35 to 154 of the family's 154-position model. The record is from RNAcentral.